AUUGAACGCUGGCGGCAUGCUUUACACAUGCAAGUCGAACGGUAACAGGGAGCUUGCUCCGCUGACGAGUGGCGAACGGGUGAGUAAUGCAUCGGAACGUACCCAGUCGUGGGGGAUAACGUAGCGAAAGUUACGCUAAUACCGCAUACGUCCUGAGGGAGAAAGCGGGGGACCGUAAGGCCUCGCGCGAUUGGAGCGGCCGAUGUCGGAUUAGCUAGUUGGUAGGGUAAAGGCCUACCAAGGCGACGAUCCGUAGCGGGUCUGAGAGGAUGAUCCGCCACACUGGGACUGAGACACGGCCCAGACUCCUACGGGAGGCAGCAGUGGGGAAUUUUGGACAAUGGGCGAAAGCCUGAUCUAGCCAUGCCGCGUGAGUGAAGAAGGCCUCGGGUUGUAAGACUCUUUCUAGUACGGAAAGAAAUACGCA
Molecule: ribosomal RNA, 427 nt
Filed under: uncultured bacterium
Lineage: Bacteria
Description: bacterial SSU rRNA
Rfam family: Bacterial small subunit ribosomal RNA
Source: RNAcentral